This 151-nucleotide small RNA is filed under the name Aliirhizobium cellulosilyticum. RNAcentral's name for it is "Rhizobium cellulosilyticum Rhizobiales sRNA Atu_C7". The stretch from base 48 to 151 matches the Rfam family "Rhizobiales sRNA Atu_C7", at positions 47 to 157 of the family's 157-position model. The record is from Rfam by way of RNAcentral. Lineage: Bacteria; Pseudomonadati; Pseudomonadota; Alphaproteobacteria; Hyphomicrobiales; Rhizobiaceae.
CCGAGAGCAAGGUCGUCGGUCAGCGUCCAUUUUCGUGUUGUUUCAGUUUUCCGUGUUCCCUGGCGCGUAACCGAGCCGCAGGUGUCACCUCCCUCGCCUGCCGGCCUUGCGCCCACCUCGCCUCGCUCGACUCUGUGGAGCGAGGCUAUUU